AUUACCAUCUUCUUCCUUGAGAAGAACGAUGGUUUAUUCAUUCGGUUUCUUCAUUCCUCCAUAGAUCCUGAACUUCUGAAAUCGAAAUCGAAGGUGGUUCAUCUCCAAAGUUUUGGCGAUCGAAAAUGGUUCAUAUUGUUCACGAUCGAAGAUAUUACAUCUAGUUGAAGAUCGAAAUCUAAGAUGAAUUAUUUUUAUCAAUCAAAGAAGAGCCAGAGAACGGUAGCAGUGGUGGUAUCCGGAAACCAGAUCCCAUUGUAUGGAGGUGGAGCGAGUCUUAGCAGUUUGGGGGGAAACCUGACGACGCCGGUGUCUCUGAAACUUGACUUUAAAGUCCGUUCAAGAGCUUACGUUCUGGGUCAACUGGUUAAACCAAAACUCUACAAAAACAUCGACUGCUCAAUCAUCUUUGAUCCCAAGAAGCUCCAAGUCCCUCUUCCUCUUAAGAAUUGCACAUACAAUUAAAUUUGUUUUUCAGUCUCAGAUGUAGCAAGCCCCAAGAAGCGAAUGCGGAACCACAAAAACCUUCAACUUCUCUAAAUCCCACUCAUCGCCCUUGUAAAUCAGCCUCCAACCCUGCUUCCAGGGGCCUCCAUCCACAUCCAGGAACUUGAUCUUAUCAUAGAGAUCCUUAUUCGUGAUAUCGACGACAGCAGCAGAAGCGACCUCAUUUCCGCCCUCCAACAAGGCGGGCUUUCGAUUAACUGGUUUUCUAAACUUGGACUGACGGAAAUUUCUGGGUCUGAAAGGAGUAGAGAGAGGUUUUGGGAUACCAUAGCGGAAGAUGAUAGCGAUGAAGAAGAGAACGGAGAUCGAGAGGCCAAUAGUGAAGAAGUUAGCGAAGAUGAAAUCACGAACAGGCACUCGCCGCCGAGACUUCCUGGGAAGCUUCGAUUUAGUUGAAUUAGAUGAAUAUGGGAGGAGAGAGUUGGCUCAUCCUCCCCGUCGGCUACUGCCGGUGCCGGAGGAGAAGGCCAUGGAUAGAUCAAAUUCCAAUCACUAGGAUACACCAACUAACAACUGUGGAACUGCCGUCGUUAGCUCGGCUGAAGCCAAUUGGAAAUUUUCAGAUCUGCUUUCAUAUGGUUGGCGUUGUACAUUUCAGCAAUGAAGAAUGGAAGUUCCAAUAGCUCAGGUGAUCAGACUCAGGAAACCUCGAUCAGAGAGAUCGGAGUCAGGCAACUCUCUCCCUCCAACGGCUCCAAGAAUUCCAAAUUGACGAACCUUCGAUCAGCCAUCAAGAGAGUGUUUUUUAAAAAAAGGGAAAGGGGGUAAAUGGGUCAUUUAACAUGAACUCCUAAGAGUUAAAAACAUAGGGUACGAUUGUAAUUUCAAACUUCAAAGGGGUCUAAGACUCUAAGUGUAAUAUUUGAAAAAUAUAGAAGAAGGGAGUGUAAUUUUCUCUUUUUUCCAAGCAA
This is a long non-coding RNA of Macadamia integrifolia, 1418 nucleotides long. RefSeq lists it as uncharacterized. The record is from RefSeq and is a predicted model, not a curated record. The transcript is spliced from 2 exons. Lineage: Eukaryota; Viridiplantae; Streptophyta; Magnoliopsida; Proteales; Proteaceae.